This 73-nucleotide transfer RNA is filed under the name Candidatus Margulisiibacteriota bacterium. RNAcentral describes it as "tRNA-Thr". It matches the Rfam family "tRNA". From Rfam's summary of the family: Transfer RNA (tRNA) molecules are approximately 80 nucleotides in length. Their secondary structure includes four short double-helical elements and three loops (D, anti-codon, and T loops). The record is from RNAcentral. Lineage: Bacteria; Bacillati; Candidatus Margulisiibacteriota.
GCCGGCGUAGCUCAGCUGGUAGAGCAACUGAUUUGUAAUCAGUAGGUCGCCAGUUCAACUCUGGCCGCCGGCU